AGUAAGAGAAGUUCUUGAAACUUAAAGUAUUUGGCGGUUUUUCAGUCUGGUUAGAGGAACUUGUUCUGUGAUCGAUGGUCCUCGAUAGAUUUGACUUUUGUUUUAAAUAUCGCCGUCGACGACAGGUCAAGAUUUAGCGUAUAUGAAAGGUUGAAAUUGGAUUUAAAAGUUGAUGGAUUUAAGUUGGGCUCUGGAGAAUGU
RNAcentral lists this ribosomal RNA (201 nucleotides) under Sarax sp. 2 GSM-2017. RNAcentral's name for it is "partial small subunit ribosomal RNA". The record is from RNAcentral. Lineage: Eukaryota; Metazoa; Arthropoda; Arachnida; Amblypygi; Charinidae.